Gossypium hirsutum (cotton) is the source of this 115-nucleotide non-coding RNA. NCBI's taxonomy places the organism in Eukaryota, Viridiplantae, Streptophyta, Magnoliopsida, Malvales, Malvaceae. The record is from Rfam.
UAUUAAAACUUUUAUCCAUUUCUAUUGUUAAAAGUUGGCAUAGCUGACACCACAUGUGCCUCAUUCUGACAUACAGGAAUCAAUUUAACAAGAGAAAUUGAUGAAAUUUUUAAUA